AGAAUCAACGCUGGCGGCGUGCCUAACACAUGCAAGUCGAACGAGAAAGUGGAGCAAUCCAUGAGUAAAGUGGCGCACGGGUGAGUAACACGUGACUAACCUACCCUUGAGUGGGGGAUAACCUAGGGAACCUGGGCUAAUACCGCAUAAUACCUUCGGGUCAAAGGAGCAAUUCGCUUAAGGAGGGGGUCGCGGCCGAUUAGUUAGUUGGCGGGGUAAUGGCCCACCAAGACUAUGAUCGGUAU
Molecule: ribosomal RNA, 245 nt
Filed under: uncultured bacterium
Lineage: Bacteria
Description: partial small subunit ribosomal RNA
Rfam family: Bacterial small subunit ribosomal RNA
Source: RNAcentral